RNAcentral lists this ribosomal RNA (253 nucleotides) under uncultured bacterium. Its description in RNAcentral is "partial 16S ribosomal RNA". It matches the Rfam family "Bacterial small subunit ribosomal RNA", at positions 524 to 776 of the family's 1533-position model. The record is from RNAcentral.
UACGGGGGGGGUAAGCGUUGUUCGGAAUUACUGGGCGUAAAGGGCUCGUAGGCGGCCAACUAAGUCAUACGUGAAAUCCCUCAGCUUAACUGGGGAACUGCGUGUGAUACUGGAUGGCUUGGAUUUGGGAGAGGGAUGCGGAAUUCCAGGUGUAGCGGUGAAAUGCGUAGAUAUCUGGAGGAAUACCGGUGGCGAAGGCGGCAUCCUGGACCGACAUUGACGCUGAAAGCCGAAAGCUAGGGGAGCAAACGGG